GACGAACGCUGGCGGCGUGCUUAACACAUGCAAGUCGAGCGGUAAGGCCCUUUCGGGGGUACACGAGCGGCGAACGGGUGAGUAACACGUGGGUGACCUGCCCUCAGCUCUGGGAUAAGCCUGGGAAACCGGGUCUAAUACUGGAUAUGACUCCAUGACGCAUGUUGUGGGGUGGAAAGCCUUGUGCGGCUGAGGAUGGGCCCGCGGCCUAUCAGCUUGUUGGUGGGGUGANGGCCUACCAAGGCGACGACGGGUAGCCGGCCUGAGAGGGCGACCGGCCACACUGGGACUGAGACACGGCCCAGACUCCUACGGGAGGCAGGCAGUGGGGAAUCUUGCGCAAUGGGCGAAAGCCUGACGCAGCGACGCCGCGUGAGGGAUGACGGCCU
RNAcentral lists this ribosomal RNA (389 nucleotides) under uncultured bacterium. RNAcentral describes it as "bacterial SSU rRNA". It matches the Rfam family "Bacterial small subunit ribosomal RNA", at positions 28 to 417 of the family's 1533-position model. The record is from RNAcentral.